UCAUUAGAAGGUGCAGCUGGUUCACAAUGAGGAGCACCUGUACUCAUCUAAUCAACUCCUCCAUAAAACCCUGGUCAUGUUCACACUCCAGUGCCAGAUAAUUCCGUCUCACUCGUGUCUGCUCGAGCCAGCCUGAGUCCUGCCACCGCCACCAGCGAGAACUAGAUCCACCUUCAUUUUGUGGAUUGUUUUUUAGUUGCUCCUUUUUUCCUUAAUUAAACUUUGUUAAAAGACUGAA
Molecule: long non-coding RNA, 238 nt
Organism: Trematomus bernacchii (emerald rockcod)
Lineage: Eukaryota; Metazoa; Chordata; Actinopteri; Perciformes; Nototheniidae
Exons: 2
Source: RefSeq, a predicted model, not a curated record